GGACCCGCACAAGCGGUGGAUGAUGUGGAUUAAUUCGAUGCAACGCGAAGAACCUUACCUACCCUUGACAUGUACCGAAGCUCGAUGAGAGUCGAGUGUGCCCGAAAGGGAGCGGUAACACAGGUGCUGCAUGGCUGUCGUCAGCUCGUGUCGUGAGAUGUUGGGUUAAGUCCCGCAACGAGCGCAACCCUUGCCACUAGUUGCUACGGAAACGGGCACUCUAGUGGGACUGCCGGUGACAAACCGGAGGAAGGUGGGGAUGACGUCAAGUCCUCAUGGCCCUUAUGGGUAGGGCUUCACACGUCAUACAAUGGCGCAUACAGAGGGUAGCCAACCCGCGAGGGGGAGCCAAUCUCAGAAAGUGCGUCGUAGUCCGGAUUGCAGUCUGCAACUCGACUGCAUGAAGUCGGAAUCGCUAGUAAUCGCGGAUCAGCAAUGUCGCGGUGAAUACGUUCCCGGGUCUU
Molecule: ribosomal RNA, 464 nt
Filed under: uncultured bacterium
Lineage: Bacteria
Description: bacterial SSU rRNA
Rfam family: Bacterial small subunit ribosomal RNA
Source: RNAcentral